Molecule: non-coding RNA, 45 nt
Filed under: Schistosoma margrebowiei
Lineage: Eukaryota; Metazoa; Platyhelminthes; Trematoda; Strigeidida; Schistosomatidae
Source: RNAcentral
ACCCAACUGACAAGUCGCAUAUAAGACGAAACGCAUGUCCUGGAU